UCAGGAUGAACGCUAGCGGCAGGCUUAACACAUGCAAGUCGAGGGGUAUAUGUCUUCGGAUAUAGAGACCGGCGCACGGGUGCGUAACGCGUAUGCAAUCUACCUUUUACAGAGGGAUAGCCCAGAGAAAUUUGGAUUAAUACCUCAUAGUAUAGUGACUCGGCAUCGAGAUACUAUUAAAGUCACAACGGUAAAAGAUGAGCAUGCGUCCCAUUAGCUAGUUGGUAAGGUAACGGCUUACCAAGGCUACGAUGGGUAGGGGUCCUGAGAGGGAGAUCCCCCACACUGGUACUGAGACACGGACCAGACUCCUACGGGAGGCAGCAGUGAGGAAUAUUGGACAAUGGGCGCAAGCCUGAUCCAGCCAUGCCGCGUGCAGGAUGACGGUCCUAUGGAUUGUAAACUGCUUUUGUACGAGAAGAAACACUCCUUCGUGAAGGAGCUUGACGGUAUCGUAAGAAUAAGGAUCGGCUAACUCCGUGCCAGCAGCCGCGGUAAUACGGAGGAUCCAAGCGUUAUCCGGAAUCAUUGGGUUUAAAGGGUCCGUAGGCGGUUUAGUAAGUCAGUGGUGAAAGCCCAUCGCUCAACGGUGGAACGGCCAUUGAUACUGCUAAACUUGAAUUAUUAGGAAGUAACUAGAAUAUGUAGUGUAGCGGUGAAAUGCUUAGAGAUUACAUGGAAUACCAAUUGCGAAGGCAGGUUACUACUAAUGGAUGACGCUGAGGACGAAAG
RNAcentral lists this ribosomal RNA (732 nucleotides) under Flavobacterium sp. RNAcentral's name for it is "bacterial SSU rRNA". It matches the Rfam family "Bacterial small subunit ribosomal RNA", at positions 24 to 759 of the family's 1533-position model. The record is from RNAcentral. Lineage: Bacteria; Pseudomonadati; Bacteroidota; Flavobacteriia; Flavobacteriales; Flavobacteriaceae.